RNAcentral lists this ribosomal RNA (445 nucleotides) under uncultured bacterium. Its description in RNAcentral is "partial 16S ribosomal RNA". It matches the Rfam family "Bacterial small subunit ribosomal RNA", at positions 331 to 792 of the family's 1533-position model. The record is from RNAcentral.
CCAGACUCCUACGGGAGGCAGCAGUGGGGAAUAUUGCACAAUGGGGGGAACCCUGAUGCAGCGACGCCGCGUGGGCGAGGAAGUAUUUCGGUAUGUAAAGCCCUAUCGGCAGGGAAGAAGAAAUGACGGUACCUGAAUAAGAAGCACCGGCUAAAUACGUGCCAGCAGCCGCGGUAAUACGUAUGGUGCAAGCGUUAUCCGGAUUUAUUGGGUUUAAAGGGUGCGUAGGCGGGAUGCCAAGUCAGCGGUAAAAAUGCGGUGCUCAACGCCGUCGAGCCGUUGAAACUGGCGUUCUUGAGUGGGCGAGAAGUAUGCGGAAUGCGUGGUGUAGCGGUGAAAUGCAUAGAUAUCACGCAGAACUCCGAUUGCGAAGGCAGCAUACCGGCGCCCUACUGACGCUGAGGCACGAAAGCGUGGGUAUCGAACAGGAUUAGAUACCCGUGUA